UGGGGAAUAUUGGACAAUGGGCGCAAGCCUGAUCCAGCAAUGCCGCGUGUGUGAAGAAGGCCUUCGGGUUGUAAAGCACUUUUAUCAGGAGCGAAACGCUGUCGGCUAAUACCCGGCGGAACUGACGGUACCUGAGGAAUAAGCACCGGCUAACUUCGUGCCAGCAGCCGCGGUAAUACGAAGGGUGCAAGCGUUAAUCGGAAUUACUGGGCGUAAAGCGUGCGUAGGCGGUUUCUUAAGUCUGCUGUGAAAUCCCCGGGCUCAACCUGGGAAUGGCAGUGGAUACUGGGAGGCUAGAGUGUGUCAGAGGGUGGUGGAAUUCCCGGUGUAGCGGUGAAAUGCAUAGAGAUCGGGAGGAACAUCAGUGGCGAAGGCGGCCACCUGGGACAACACUGACGCUGAGGCACGAAAGCGUGGGGAGCAAACAGGAUUAGAUACCCUGGUAGUCCACGCCCUAAACGAUGCGAACCGGAUGUUGGUCUCAACUCGGAGAUCAGUGUCGAAGCUAACGCGUUAAGUUCGCCGCCUGGGGGAGUACGGUCGCAAGACUGAAACUCAAAGGAAUUGAC
This 569-nucleotide ribosomal RNA is filed under the name uncultured bacterium. Its description in RNAcentral is "partial 16S ribosomal RNA". It matches the Rfam family "Bacterial small subunit ribosomal RNA", at positions 355 to 914 of the family's 1533-position model. The record is from RNAcentral.